UGGAUGAUGACUCCUUUGGAUGACGUGCCGUGAUCUGAUUCUUGUUCCCUUGGUUGUCUGAC
This 62-nucleotide small nucleolar RNA is filed under the name Euglena gracilis. RNAcentral describes it as "Eg-m101 box C/D methylation-guide". The record is from RNAcentral. Lineage: Eukaryota; Euglenozoa; Euglenophyceae; Euglenales; Euglenaceae.